Molecule: ribosomal RNA, 443 nt
Filed under: uncultured bacterium
Lineage: Bacteria
Description: partial 16S ribosomal RNA
Rfam family: Bacterial small subunit ribosomal RNA
Source: RNAcentral
CCUACGGGUGGCAGCAGUGGGGAAUAUUGGGCAAUGGAGGAAACUCUGACCCAGCAACGCCGCGUGAAUGAUGAAGGUUUUCGGAUUGUAAAGUUCUUUUAUCAGGGAAGAAGAAAGUGACGGUACCUUACGAAUAAGCCUCGGCUAACUACGUGCCAGCAGCCGCGGUAAUACGUAGGAGGCGAGCGUUAUCCGGAAGUACUGGGUGUAAAGGGAGCGUAGGUGGUUUGGCAAGUCAGUAGCGAAACUCCAAGGCUCAACCGUGGAACUACUACUGAAACUGUUGGACUUGAGUGCAGGAGAGGCAAGCGGAAGUCCUAGUGUAGCGGGGGAAUGCGUAGAUAUUAGGAGGAACACCAGGUGCGAAGGCGGGUUGCUAGACUGUAACUGACGCUGAGGCACGAAAGCGUGGGGAGCAAACAGGAUUAGAUACCCUUGUAGUC